GUAUUCCUACGGGGGGCAGCAGUGGGGAAUAUUGCACAAUGGGGGAAACCCUGAUGCAGCGACGCCGCGUGAGUGAAGAAGUAUUUCGGUAUGUAAAGCUCUAUCAGCAGGGAAGAAAAUGACGGUACCUGACUAAGAAGCCCCGGCUAACUACGCGCCAGCAGCCGCGGUAAUACGUAGGGGGCAAGCGUUAUCCGGAUUUACUGGGUGUAAAGGGAGCGUAGACGGCAGCGCAAGUCUGAAGUGAAA
Molecule: ribosomal RNA, 249 nt
Filed under: uncultured bacterium
Lineage: Bacteria
Description: partial 16S ribosomal RNA
Rfam family: Bacterial small subunit ribosomal RNA
Source: RNAcentral